CCAGGUUCCGUUGCGUAGUAAGCGUAACCGGUGUGUGAAUCUUACCGGCUUUAAUGGCAACAAAGAAGGAUCUAGUUCCACCGUCACCACACGUGCAACGUUUGAAUAAAACUUUUGUUUUAAGAGACAACUCAUGUACAUGCACUUUGAUGAUUUCAAAGAGCACUUGUGCUGUUUUGUUUCAGUCAUGUGUGUUGUUUGUUCC
Long non-coding RNA from Arabidopsis thaliana (thale cress), 205 nucleotides. RefSeq annotates it as other RNA. The record is from RefSeq. The transcript has a single exon. NCBI's taxonomy places the organism in Eukaryota, Viridiplantae, Streptophyta, Magnoliopsida, Brassicales, Brassicaceae.